Molecule: transfer RNA, 72 nt
Filed under: Ictidomys tridecemlineatus (thirteen-lined ground squirrel)
Lineage: Eukaryota; Metazoa; Chordata; Mammalia; Rodentia; Sciuridae
Description: Spermophilus tridecemlineatus (thirteen-lined ground squirrel) tRNA
Rfam family: tRNA
About the family: Transfer RNA (tRNA) molecules are approximately 80 nucleotides in length. Their secondary structure includes four short double-helical elements and three loops (D, anti-codon, and T loops). Further hydrogen bonds mediate the characteristic L-shaped molecular structure. tRNAs have two regions of fundamental functional importance: the anti-codon, which is responsible for specific mRNA codon recognition, and the 3' end, to which the tRNAs corresponding amino acid is attached (by aminoacyl-tRNA synthetases). tRNAs cope with the degeneracy of the genetic code in two manners: having more than one tRNA (with a specific anti-codon) for a particular amino acid; and 'wobble' base-pairing, i.e. permitting non-standard base-pairing at the 3rd anti-codon position.
Source: Rfam by way of RNAcentral
GUGUAUGUAGCUCAGUGGUAAAACAUUUGCCCACCAUGUGCAAGAUCCUGGGUUCAAUCCCCAGCACACACA